This 428-nucleotide ribosomal RNA is filed under the name uncultured organism. RNAcentral's name for it is "bacterial SSU rRNA". It matches the Rfam family "Bacterial small subunit ribosomal RNA", at positions 56 to 527 of the family's 1533-position model. The record is from RNAcentral.
UGCAGUCGUACGAGAGUUUUUACUCAAGUGGCGGACGGGUGAGUAACACGUAAGAAUUUGCCUUUAGGAGGGGGACAACAACUGGAAACGGUUGCUAAUACCCCAUAUGCUUUCGAGUGAAACGGUUUUUCCGCCUAAAGAGAAGCUUGCGGCUGAUUAGCUUGUUGGUAAGGUAAUGGCUUACCAAGGCGACGAUCAGUAUCUGGUUUGAGAGGACGAUCAGACACACUGGAACUGAGACACGGUCCAGACUCCUACGGGAGGCAGCAGUGGGGAAUUUUCCGCAAUGGGCGAAAGCCUGACGGAGCAAUACCGCGUGAGGGAUGACGGCCUAUGGGUUGUAAACCUCUUUUUUCAGGGAGGAAUAAAUGACGUGUACCUGAGGAAUAAGCAUCGGCUAACUCCGUGCCAGCAGCCGCGGUAAUACG